UGCUUACUCUAGCCCAACCAACCCUACACUUCCAAAAAUCCACUACUAUGCUAAACUAAAACAUUCUACCUUUUCAACCCAGUAUAGGCGAUAGAAAAGACACUCUCGGCGCAAUAGAGUUGAACCGUACCGUAAGGGAAAGAUGAAAUAAUAAUGAAACCCCGAGCAACAAACAGCAAAGAUUAACCCUUGUACCUUUUGCAUCAUGAUUUAGCAAGAACAACCAAGCAAAACGGAUUGAAGCUUGCCCCCCCGAAACCCAAGCGAGCUACUUACAGGCAGCCCAUUACCUGGGGCAAACCCGUCUCUGUCGCAAAAGAGUGGGACGACCUGUCAGUAGCGGUGAAAAGCCUAUCGAGCUGGGUGAUAGCUGGUUGCCCACCAAACGAAUCUAAGUUCUCCCUUAAUUUUCCCUCCAGGACCCACUAACCUCCUUGUAAUAGAAUUAAGAGCUACUCAAAGGAGGUACAGCUCCUUUGACAAAGAACACAACCUCCUCUAGCGGAUAACCUCCCCCCCUCCCCCUUGUGGGCCUUAAAGCAGCCACCAACAAAGAGUGCGUCAAAGCUCAUAGCCCAAAAAAUCUAAAAACACACGCGACUCCCUUACCCACAAUGGGCCAACCUAUUAUAAUAGAAGAAUUAAUGCUAGAAUGAGUAACCUGGGAUCCUCCCUCCAAAAGCGUAAACUUACAUUAAUACAUUAUUAACAGACCACCUAUACCCCCACUUCAACAAGAACACGUAUUCCUUCUUCUGUUAAACCCACCCAGGAACGCCUACUGGACGAUUAAAAUCUGUAAAAGGAACUCGGCAAACCCAAGGCCCGACUGUUUACCAAAAACAUAGCCUUCAGCCAAUAACAAGUAUUGAAGGUGAUGCCUGCCCAGUGACAUCAAAGUUCAACGGCCGCGGUAUCCUAACCGUGCAAAGGUAGCGCAAUCAAUUGUCCCAUAAAUCGAGACUUGUAUGAACGGCUAAACGAGGUCUUAACUGUCUCCUACAGAUGAUCGGUGAAAUUGAUACUCUCGUGCAAAAGCGAGAAUAUGAACAUAAGACGAGAAGACCCUGUGGAACUUAAAAAUCAACGACCACCUAAUCAAAUAUUCCCCCAUACGGGCCCACCUACUACCAUUAGUGCCUGGUCAACAUUUUUCGGUUGGGGCGACCUUGGAGAAAAAAGAACCCUCCAAAUCAACCCAGGCCACAACCCUUCACUAAGAGCUACCGCUCAAAGUGCUAAAAGCCACCAGACCCAAUACAAUUGACCAAUGGACCAAGCUACCCCAGGGAUAACAGCGCAAUCCCCUCCAAGAGCCCGUAUCGACAAGGGGGUUUACGACCUCGAUGUUGGAUCAGGACAACCUAAUGGUGCAGCCGCUAUUAAGGGUUCGUUUGUUCAACGAUUAACAGUCCUACGUGAUCUGAGUUCAGACCGGAGCAAUCCAGGUCGGUUUCUAUCUAUGAAACACCUCUUCCAGUACGAAAGGACCGAAGAAGUGGGGCCAAUACCACAAGCAUGCCCUCCCUCUAAGUAGUGAAUUCAACUCAACUACCAAGAAAUCAGCACUCCACAAUUACCGUCCAAGAAAAGGACCU
RNAcentral lists this ribosomal RNA (1598 nucleotides) under Penelope pileata. Its description in RNAcentral is "16S ribosomal RNA". It matches the Rfam family "Bacterial large subunit ribosomal RNA". The record is from RNAcentral. Lineage: Eukaryota; Metazoa; Chordata; Aves; Galliformes; Cracidae.